Perca fluviatilis (European perch) is the source of this 464-nucleotide long non-coding RNA. RefSeq lists it as uncharacterized. The transcript is spliced from 3 exons. Lineage: Eukaryota; Metazoa; Chordata; Actinopteri; Perciformes; Percidae. The record is from RefSeq and is a predicted model, not a curated record.
GCCUGGCAAUGAGGGUUUUGUGAUCUCUAUCAGGGAACACAAGACUAACAAGUCCUUUGGGGUGGCCCAAAUGUUCUUAGAGACUGACGAGUUUCGAUGGCUGGAGAGGUGGCUGCAGCUGCGGGUGGCCAGCAAGCCACCGAACCAGCUGGUCUUCUUCACGGCUGGGAAGGGCCCAUGCUAAAACUUCUUGCACCACCUGCAGGUAGCGUGGGCGGAGAUCCGCCUUAAAGGGUCCCCCAACUUCACUGACCUGAGGACUGCUGUGUCUGCUCAUGUCAAGAACAACCUUCUGUCGGGCAGCAGAAGAUGGUGGCCACCUUUUAUGUGCCACAACAUGGCCACCGCUGACUGCUUCUACGCCCUCAGCCUGAACGUGGUCCAGUCAAAGAGGAUGAGGGAGCAUUUCCGCUAGACCUUCACCCACACCGUGCCAUCACCGGAGUCACCAGAAGCCUCCUCCU